CAGCCAAGUAGCGUGCGGAUGGCGGCCUAUGGGUUGUAAACUGCUUUUAUGCGGGGAUAAAGUGAGGGACGUGUCCUUCAUUGCAGGUACCGCAUGAAUAAGGACCGGCUAAUUCCGUGCCAGCAGCCGCGGUAAUACGGAAGGUCCGGGCGUUAUCCGGAUUUAUUGGGUUUAAAGGGAGCGUAGGCCGUGGAUUAAGCGUGUUGUGAAAUGCAGGUGCUCAACGUCUGCACUGCAGCGCGAACUGGUCCACUUGAGUGUGCGCAACGCAGGCGGAAUUCGUCGUGUAGCGGUGAAAUGCUUAGAUAUGACGAAGAACUCCGAUUGCGAAGGCAGCUUGCGGGAGCACAACUGACGCUGAAGCUCGAAAGUGCGGGUAUCGAACAGGAUUAGAUACCCUGGUAGUCCGCACGGGUAAACGAUGGAUGCCCGUUGUCAGGCUGUUUCAGCCUGGUGACCAAGCGAAA
Molecule: ribosomal RNA, 467 nt
Filed under: Segatella oris
Lineage: Bacteria; Pseudomonadati; Bacteroidota; Bacteroidia; Bacteroidales; Prevotellaceae
Description: bacterial SSU rRNA
Rfam family: Bacterial small subunit ribosomal RNA
Source: RNAcentral